This is a long non-coding RNA of Gasterosteus aculeatus aculeatus (three-spined stickleback), 1016 nucleotides long. RefSeq lists it as uncharacterized. Lineage: Eukaryota; Metazoa; Chordata; Actinopteri; Perciformes; Gasterosteidae. The record is from RefSeq and is a predicted model, not a curated record.
UGUUUGCCAUUGUUCAGUUUAUCGACGAGGAGGGGCCAUAUGCUAUUGGCCCCCAUUUACCCUCCGCAAGAAAGACAAAGGCAACAAUUUAGCCAUCCGCUGCACCUGGGAAAAACAUCAUUUUAAGUUCAUGAAGGGAGCAGAAUCUUGGCAAGAGGCGAAAAGAUAUUUGGAGCGCUUCCAAACAGGUUCCAGCGUUGAAACAACAACAGCCGACGACGACAAGAAGAGAAAGCGGAAGAGAAUCUUAAAUUCCAAGUACAGACCCCAGGCCUCUUCGGAUGAAGAGGAGUCUACUCUUCCGGAUGCACCAGCUUUGCUGAGUUUUGAAAGAAGUGUUGCCGGUAACAAGUUUUCCGUGCUGCCCGAUGCUCCAGAAGUUUCAUUCGGGCUAGAAAACCAGGAAAACGUUGAGCCAUCUGUAGACUUCAGAGCUGAAUAAGGUUUCUCACCAGUGCUCCAGUCUCCACUUCUAAGAGCCAAGAGUUUGAGUACAAGAGAAAGUCAACACUCAAUGGGCCCUUGGACUCCCCGGAAAUCACGUGUACAGCAAGUUUCCAGCUAUGAAGAUUUCCAGAGACUCCAGGCGGAGCUCCAAGCCCUGAGGGAGGAGAACCAAGCCCUGAGGGAGGAGAACCAAUGCGCGAGCAGCUUCGGAUGACUGCAGCUCACUUCAAGAGCAGGUGAAGCAAGUUGGGACAAUGAUCAAGACGUUUGCUCGCACUGGGCUAUCAGGGGCCAUACGGAAGAAUCCGGCAACCCAGGAUGCCACUGAUGAGGCGGUCCAGGUUAAUGUAAUGGGUUACCUGAAAGGAGCAUCUGGCCGCAAAGGUGGAAAAAGGCGCCGCACAACAGAGAGGGACCCACAGCCGACUCCUCAAACCUAGGCUUGUCUAGACUACUGACACCCCUGCAUGUUCUCUGUGUGUGUGUGUGUGUGUAUAUAUAUAUAUUUUAUGUAUAUAUAUCUUUUUUAUUUAUAUUUCAGUGUGCUGACACAUCUUGUUUCAAUACUG